ACAAUGGAGAGUUUGAUCCUGGCUCAGGAUGAACGCUAGCGGCAGGCUUAAUACAUGCAAGUCGUGGGGCAGCGCAGGUAGCAAUACUGGGCGGCGACCGGCAAACGGGUGCGGAACACGUACACAACCUUCCUACAAGUGGGGAAUAGCCCAGAGAAAUUUGGAUUAAUACCCCGUAACAUAACGAUGUGGCAUCACAUUGUUAUUAUAGCUUCGGCGCUUGUUGAUGGGUGUGCGGCUGAUUAGAUAGUUGGCGGGGUAACGGCCCACCAAGUCUACGAUCAGUAGCUGAUGUGAGAGCAUGAUCAGCCACACGGGCACUGAGACACGGGCCCGACUCCUA
Molecule: ribosomal RNA, 343 nt
Filed under: Sediminibacterium sp.
Lineage: Bacteria; Pseudomonadati; Bacteroidota; Chitinophagia; Chitinophagales; Chitinophagaceae
Description: bacterial SSU rRNA
Rfam family: Bacterial small subunit ribosomal RNA
Source: RNAcentral